GUGUGUGUGUGUGUGUGUGUGUGUGUGUCGGUCUGUCCAUCCAUGCACACACGCAUGCGC
RNAcentral lists this microRNA precursor (60 nucleotides) under Loxodonta africana (African savanna elephant). RNAcentral's name for it is "miRNA (ENSLAFG00000023956.1)". Lineage: Eukaryota; Metazoa; Chordata; Mammalia; Proboscidea; Elephantidae. The record is from RNAcentral.